GUCAUCAUCAGCGGGACCCUCUUUAUCUUCUGGAAGGAGCUCUCCCUCUACUACUGAAGGCCAUCCUUCAGCCUUCCUUGUAGGAAAUGACAUUCACUCUGGGUUUAACUGGAGUGGCAUCACCUUCCUGGGAGACAGUUACUUCCUGGAGGAGGUGGUGUUUCCUCCACCCAUAGGUGCCCUGCCCCCAUCCUCAUGGUGGCAUGUGCUGGGGAGACCCUGGGGUAGCAGCCACUGACCUCACACCUGGAGGAAGCUGUGUGAUCGAUUCAUGAGCUUAU
Molecule: small RNA, 281 nt
Filed under: Pongo abelii (Sumatran orangutan)
Lineage: Eukaryota; Metazoa; Chordata; Mammalia; Primates; Hominidae
Description: retained intron
Source: RNAcentral